CUACAACCAAAAACGUUGCGGUAGUGGAUAAAUCUACUAGAGACACAGCUGUACCUGUUUCUCAAUCUGGAAAAGAUCCAGAUGCCCGAGUAUUCACCAUUGCCGUAGUUGAUUGUUGGAUCUUCCUAUUCGUUGAUUGGUGGGAUCGGGAUAGAUUUUCUGGGCUGGAGCGCUUAUUGUGGAUGGCCGAUUUAGGUGAACUAUCUGACGAAUCUUCAAUCGAACAAAGAGUGGUUUGAGUUUCUAAUUGUUUUGCCGCUUCAGAAUUUACAGAGCCAAAUCAACAAAAAAUCCUCCAACAAAAAAUCGUCGCGGCUCAAAAUCGACGUC
Long non-coding RNA from Salvia splendens (bonfire salvia), 330 nucleotides. RefSeq lists it as uncharacterized. NCBI's taxonomy places the organism in Eukaryota, Viridiplantae, Streptophyta, Magnoliopsida, Lamiales, Lamiaceae. The record is from RefSeq and is a predicted model, not a curated record. The transcript is spliced from 3 exons.